RNAcentral lists this ribosomal RNA (255 nucleotides) under uncultured bacterium. Its description in RNAcentral is "partial 16S ribosomal RNA". It matches the Rfam family "Bacterial small subunit ribosomal RNA", at positions 524 to 776 of the family's 1533-position model. The record is from RNAcentral.
UACAGAGGUCUCGAGCGUUAGGCGGAAUCACUGGGCUUAAAGCGUGUGUAGGCGGGUCGUUAAGUGCCUUGUGAAAUCCCAUGGCUCAACCAUGGAACUGCUGGGCAUACUGGCGAUCUUGUGCCACCUAGGGGCGAGCGGAACAGAUGGUGGAGCGGUGAAAUGCGUAGAUAUCAUCUGGAACGCCAAUGGUGAAAACAGCUCGCUGGGGGGUGUGCAGACGCUGGAGACACGAAAGCCAGGGGAGCGAACGGG